AGUGAACGCUGGCGGUAGGCCUAACACAUGCAAGUCGAACGGCAGCACAGUCAGAGCUUGCUCUUACGGGUGGCGAGUGGCGGACGGGUGAGGAAUACAUCGGCAUCUACUUUUUCGUGGGGGAUAACGUAGGGAAAAUUACGCUAAUACCGCAUACGACCUACGGGUGAAAGCAGGGGAUCUUCGGACCUUGCGCGAUCGAAUGACCCGAUGUCGGAUUAGCUAGUUGGCGGGGUAAAGGCCCACCAAGGCGACGAUCCGUAGCUGGUCUGAGAGGAUGAUCAGCCACACUGGAACUGAGACACGGUCCAGACUCCUACGGGAGGCAGCAGUGGGGAAUAUUGGACAAUGGGCGCAAGCCUGAUCCAGCCAUACCGCGUGGGUGAAGAAGGCCUUCGGGUUGUAAAGCGCUUUUGUUGGGAAAGAAAAGCAGCAGGUUAAUACCCCGCUGUUCUGACGGUACCCAAAGAAUAAGCACCGGCUAACUUCGUG
RNAcentral lists this ribosomal RNA (492 nucleotides) under uncultured bacterium. RNAcentral's name for it is "partial 16S ribosomal RNA". It matches the Rfam family "Bacterial small subunit ribosomal RNA", at positions 29 to 507 of the family's 1533-position model. The record is from RNAcentral.